Molecule: long non-coding RNA, 597 nt
Filed under: Lathyrus oleraceus (garden pea)
Lineage: Eukaryota; Viridiplantae; Streptophyta; Magnoliopsida; Fabales; Fabaceae
Description: Pisum sativum (pea) long non-coding RNA (PSAT_LNC017281)
Source: RNAcentral
CGAAAAUGAAAUAGAGAAAGUUAUUGUUGUUUCACAGUGAGGGGUUUUGUGUUGGAGAGAAAACUGUGGGUUUAUGUUGUGUCAUGGUUGAAGGGAGUUUGAUGAAGUUUGAUUUAUGAUGGUUAUGGAGGAAACUAGGGAAAUUGAAGGUGAUUAAUUUUGUGUAGUGUUUGGGGUUUAAGGAUGAAGAGUUGGUGUAUAGAAUAUUGGUGGUCGGAUAAGGUAACACAGAGGUGUUGUUUAGUGGUGGUUGUAGUGGGAAGAAGAGGUAUGAAGAAUAUGUUUUUUUAUGGGAGUGAAAUGGGUGAGAUGAAAUGUAGUUUUGUGAGUCCUUUUUUAGUGAAGAGAGUGAGUGUAUGCUUGGAGAUAGAAGGAUUAUGGUUUGAAGAAGGUGAUAUAUGUGGGUAUUUAUGGUAGGAGAUGAAGAUGGAGUUGGGUGAGAGAGGAAGAUGAACAAUGAAGAUUCAACAGUAAUAAUCCUUCUUUCUAAGUUCACUCUCUUUUUUUCAAUGAAAGUCACUCACUCCCCUCUUAUUGUUUUGAUUUCGAAAAUUUGAGAGAUGAGAGAACUGAUUGGGGGCGACUGCUAGGUUCUUG